CCCGCUGAACUUAAGCAUAUCAAUAAGCGGAGGAAAAGAAACUAACAAGGAUUCCCCUAGUAACUGCGAGUGAAGCGGGAAAAGCUCAAAUUUAAAAUCUGGUGGUCUUUGGCCAUCCGAGUUGUAAUUUAGAGAAGCGUCUUCCGCGCUGGACCAUGCAUAAGUCUCCUGGAAUGGAGCGUCAUAGAGGGUGAGAAUCCCGUCUUUGGCAUGGACCCCCAGGGCUUCUGUGAUGCGCUCUCAAAGAGUCGAGUUGUUUGGGAAUGCAGCUCAAAACGGGUGGUAAAUUCCAUCUAAAGCUAAAUAUAGGCGAGAGACCGAUAGCGAACAAGUACCGUGAGGGAAAGAUGAAAAGAACUUUGGAAAGAGAGUUAAACAGUACGUGAAAUUGCUGAAAGGGAAACGCUUGAUGUCAGUCGCGUCGGCCGGGGGUCAACCUUGCUUUUUUCGCUGGGUGUACUUCCUGGUCGACGGGUCAGCAUCAGUUUCGGUCGCCGUACAAGGGCGGAGGGAACGUGGCACUCUUCGGAGUGUGUUAUAGCCUUUCGUCGCAUGCGGUGGCUCGGGACUGAGGAACUCAGCACGGCUUCUAGUUUGUGCUCAGGAUGCUGGCAUAAUGGCCUUAAGCGACCCGUCUUGAAACACGG
RNAcentral lists this ribosomal RNA (647 nucleotides) under uncultured fungus. Its description in RNAcentral is "eukaryotic LSU rRNA". It matches the Rfam family "Eukaryotic large subunit ribosomal RNA", at positions 24 to 664 of the family's 3401-position model. Lineage: Eukaryota; Fungi. The record is from RNAcentral.